GCACGGCCUUCUCAGUUUUAAUCUCCUGCCUCGAACAACUGCCCUCAAAGUUCGUCACUACCUGAGGAAUCUUAGGAAAGCCUGUAACCAGGUUCCAGGCCAUCAAGCUACAAAUGGUCUUACAAAUGGAACCUCAAGUGAGCUCAACUCACGGCUUCUAUCGAGGACUCCUGGAUCAACCUGCUGGUCCCUCGACUAGCCAAAAAAUUCCCCUCUGGAGGACACCACAACUGCAGGGCCCCUUCUUUGCCCCUAAUCAGCAAAAAGUAGCCAGAAUGACCGCUGCCCAGUUCCCAACAGCAGUUGGGGUGUCCUGUCUAGAGCGAGGACUGAGAGGAGGGACCAGCCGGGCUUCCUGGGUCCUGCAGGGGCUCAGAAAGUUGUGAAACUCAUUCAUUUCCUGCAUCAGGACUUCCUUCUGUCCUGGAUGAAUAAUAUUGAAAACAUAUGCUUAAAAUAUUCCUAACACCAGGAUUUGUACAUGUGUUUUCUUCCCCCAAGAAAGCUAUAAACAGUGAAAAUUUUGCUAUAAGCUUCCCUGUGUCCUCUCUCCCUGUCUCCCUUCCCUCUCCCCUGAAACUAAAAGGAAUGUUAACUGACCAUUUCUCUGUGACCAGUGGACCUCAUCUAUGCUCCCAAUUCCAAUUCCUUGUAAACAUACUUUGUAAAGUCCUGUAAAUUCCCGUCUCCUUUGUCAUGCCACUGCAAGGUCAUAAAGUAGAUAAAACCUAAGUUACAAUUCCGAUAUUCCUCAAAAUCUAAGACAUGUCACAAAAUAAUUUACUGCCUUUGUUUCUUGCUCUGGUAACAUCUUCCCUCUGCACGUAUUUCCUGCCUUAAAGAGUUUAAAAGGCAACUGCAUAAUCUAACUCUGGCUACCCGCUGGGGACCCCUUCCAUGCUGUGGAAGCUUUGUACUGUCACUCUGCUCAAUAAAGCCUGCAG
This 944-nucleotide long non-coding RNA is filed under the name Homo sapiens (human). Its description in RNAcentral is "HSALNT0191795". The record is from RNAcentral. Lineage: Eukaryota; Metazoa; Chordata; Mammalia; Primates; Hominidae.